GACGAACGCUGGCGGCGUGCUUAACACGUGCAAGUCGAACGAUGAACCCGGAGCUUGCUCCGGUGGAUUAGUGGCGAACGGGUGAGUAACACGUGAGUAACCUGCCCUUGACUCUGGGAUAACUGCGGGAAACUGUAGCUAAUACCGGAUACGACCCUCGGCGGCAUCGCCAGGGGGUGGAAAGAAUUUCGGUCAAGGAUGGACUCGCGGCCUAUCAGCUAGUUGGUGAGGUAACGGCUCACCAAGGCGACGACGGGUAGCCGGCCUGAGAGGGUGACCGGCCACACUGGGACUGAGACACGGCCCAGACUCCUACGGGAGGCAGCAGUGGGGAAUAUUGCACAAUGGGGCAACCCUGAUCCAGCAAUGCCGCGUGAGUGAAGAAGGCCUUCGGGUUGUAAAGCUCUUUUGUCAGGGAAGAAACACCGGCUCUAACACAGUCCGGGAAUGACGGUACCUGAAGAAUAAGCACCGGCUAAC
RNAcentral lists this ribosomal RNA (480 nucleotides) under uncultured bacterium. Its description in RNAcentral is "partial 16S ribosomal RNA". It matches the Rfam family "Bacterial small subunit ribosomal RNA", at positions 28 to 501 of the family's 1533-position model. The record is from RNAcentral.